UUUGUUUGUCUGUUAAUUUGGUAGUUUGUCUGUCUGUUAAUUUGGUAGUUUGUCUGUCUGUUAAUUUGGUAGUUUGUCUGUCUGUUAGUUUGGUUGUUUGUUUGUCUGUUAAUUUGGUAGUCUGUCUGUCUGUUAAUUUGGUAGUUUAUUAGUUUGUUAGUCUGUUAGUCUGUUACUUUGUUAGUUUGUUAGUAUGUUAUGUUGUGUUAGUUUAUUUGUUUGUUAGUUUGCUAUAGUCUGUAAGUUUAUUAGUCUGUAAGCUAGUUUGUUAGUCUAUUAGUUUG
Molecule: non-coding RNA, 284 nt
Organism: Paramuricea clavata
Lineage: Eukaryota; Metazoa; Cnidaria; Anthozoa; Malacalcyonacea; Plexauridae
Source: the annotation of a GenBank genome assembly